RNAcentral lists this transfer RNA (98 nucleotides) under Micromonospora lutea. RNAcentral's name for it is "tRNA-Ala". Lineage: Bacteria; Bacillati; Actinomycetota; Actinomycetes; Micromonosporales; Micromonosporaceae. The record is from RNAcentral.
CGUUGGCGUCGUCGAGGCGGGCGCGUACCGCAGCCAGCGGCAGCGGCGCGUCGGAGGCCACGAUGAGGAAGUUGGCGCCCCGCUCGCCGGCCAACGCC